Long non-coding RNA from Sinocyclocheilus grahami, 97 nucleotides. RefSeq lists it as uncharacterized. The transcript is spliced from 3 exons. Lineage: Eukaryota; Metazoa; Chordata; Actinopteri; Cypriniformes; Cyprinidae. The record is from RefSeq and is a predicted model, not a curated record.
GGUGAUAAAUAACCAGACUGAAACGAUAUGAAGAGAUGAUCCCAUUUUAAUUUUAUCUCUUCAGUUUUUUUUCUUCAAAAUCAAAAUUUGACCUAUG